GACGAACGCUGGCGGCGUGCCUAAUACACGCAAGUAGAACGCUGAAGGAGGAGCUUGCUCUUCUGGAUGAGUUGCGAACGGGUGAGUAACGCGUAGGUAACCUGCCUGGUAGCGGGGGAUAACUAUUGGAAACGAUAGCUAAUACCGCAUAAGAGUAGAUGUUGCAUGACAUUUGCUUAAAAGGUGCAAUUGCACCACUACCAGAUGGACCUGCGUUGUAUUAGCUAGUUGGUGGGGUAACGGCUCACCAAGGCGACGAUACAUAGCCGACCUGAGAGGGUGAUCGGCCACACUGGGACUGAGACACGGCCCAGACUCCUACGGGAGGCAGCAGUAGGGAAUCUUCGGCAAUGGACGGAAGUCUGACCGAGCAACGCCGCGUGAGUGAAGAAGGUUUUCGGAUCGUAAAGCUCUGUUGUAAGAGAAGAACGAGUGUGAGAGUGGAAAGUUCACACUGUGACGGUAUCUUACCAGAAAGGGACGGCUAACUACGUGC
Molecule: ribosomal RNA, 496 nt
Filed under: uncultured Streptococcus sp.
Lineage: Bacteria; Bacillati; Bacillota; Bacilli; Lactobacillales; Streptococcaceae
Description: bacterial SSU rRNA
Rfam family: Bacterial small subunit ribosomal RNA
Source: RNAcentral